RNAcentral lists this ribosomal RNA (404 nucleotides) under uncultured bacterium. Its description in RNAcentral is "bacterial SSU rRNA". It matches the Rfam family "Bacterial small subunit ribosomal RNA", at positions 355 to 774 of the family's 1533-position model. The record is from RNAcentral.
UGGGGAAUCUUGCGCAAUGGGGGAAACCCCGACGCAGCGACGCCGCGUGAAGGAAGAAGGCCUUCGGGUUGUAAACUUCUUUUAUGGGGGAAAAGAGAGGAUGGUACCCCAGGAAUAAGCCCCGGCUAACUACGUGCCAGCAGCCGCGGUAAAGACGUAGGGGGCAAGCGUUGCUCGGAAUCACUGGGCUUAAAGGGCGAGUAGGCGGUGGUACAAGUUCAGGGUAGAAGGCCCUGGCUCAACCAGGGAGAUGCCCUGAAGACUGUAUCACUUGAGUAAGCGAGGGGAGGGCGGAAUUCCCGGUGUAGCGGUGAAAUGCGUAGAUAUCGGGAGGAAGGCCUGUGGCGAAGGCGGCCCUCUGGCGCUUGACUGACGCUGAAUCGCGAAAGCGUGGGGAGCAAACA